Molecule: ribosomal RNA, 492 nt
Filed under: uncultured bacterium
Lineage: Bacteria
Description: partial 16S ribosomal RNA
Rfam family: Bacterial small subunit ribosomal RNA
Source: RNAcentral
AGUGAACGCUGGCGGUAGGCCUAACACAUGCAAGUCGAACGGCAGCACAGUAAGAGCUUGCUCUUACCGUUGGCGAGUGGCGGACGGGUGACGAAUACAUCGGAAUCUACUUUUUCGUGGGGGAUAACGGAGGGAAACUUACGCUAAUACCGCAUACGACCUACCGGUGAAAGCAGUGGAUCUUCGCACCUUGCGCGAUUCAAUUAGCCGAUGUCGGAUUAGCUAGUUGGCGUGGUAAAGGCCCACCAAGGCGACGAUCCGUAGCUGGUCUGAGAGGAUGAUCAGCCACACUGGAACUGAGACACGGUCCAGACUCCUACGGGAGGCAGCAGUGGGGAAUAUUGGACAAUGGGCGCAAGCCUGAUCCAGCAAUACCGCGUGGGUGAAGAAGGCCUUCGGGUCGUAAAGCCCUUUUGUUGGGAAAGAACAGCAGCAGGUUAAUACCCCGCUGUUCUGACGGUACCCAAAGAAUAAGCACCGGCUAACUUCGUG